CUUGGUUCUCGCAUCGAUGAAGAACGCAGCGAAUUGCGAUAAGUAAUGUGAAUUGCAGAUUUUCGUGAAUCAUCGAAUCUUUGAACGCAUAUUGCGCUCUAUAGUAUUCUAUAGAGCAUGCCUGUUUGAGCGUCAUUUCUCUCUUAAACCUUUGGGU
RNAcentral lists this ribosomal RNA (157 nucleotides) under Saccharomycetales sp. FZUxc001. RNAcentral describes it as "5.8S ribosomal RNA". The stretch from base 1 to 135 matches the Rfam family "5.8S ribosomal RNA", at positions 20 to 154 of the family's 154-position model. Rfam says of the family: 5.8S ribosomal RNA (5.8S rRNA) is a component of the large subunit of the eukaryotic ribosome. It is transcribed by RNA polymerase I as part of the 45S precursor that also contains 18S and 28S rRNA. Functionally, it is thought that 5.8S rRNA may be involved in ribosome translocation. Lineage: Eukaryota; Fungi; Ascomycota; Saccharomycetes; Saccharomycetales. The record is from RNAcentral.